Hydractinia symbiolongicarpus is the source of this 1227-nucleotide long non-coding RNA. RefSeq lists it as uncharacterized. The transcript has 2 exons. NCBI's taxonomy places the organism in Eukaryota, Metazoa, Cnidaria, Hydrozoa, Anthoathecata, Hydractiniidae. The record is from RefSeq and is a predicted model, not a curated record.
UCACGUCAAUGUUGCCUCGUGAGUUGGAUUGAGCAGCAUGAGGUGGAAGAGCAUCUGUAGCUGUUUUCUUGCCGUUGGAUAGGUGGACAACCUGAAGAAGAGUUAAAAUUUCUUCCCUUCUUGUUGUCCACCUAUCCAACGGCAAGAAAACAGCUACAGAUGCUCUUCCACCUCAUGCUGCUCAAUCCAACUCACGAGGCAACAUUGACGUGGUUAAUUACAAAGAUCCUGAAAAUCGCUCCGAUAUGGCCAGGCUAAAAUUCUUAAAUCGAGAUGGAGCCAUCCCAACACCUGACUUUGUAAUGAAACAGAUGAAGCGUCAGCUGCUACAACACCAGCACCCAAAAAAACACCUAGAAAAAGAGCAUCUAAACCAAAGGUGCUGCAAAGACCGCCGACAUUACAGCCGCAAUUUAUUGCGCCGAUGUCAUGCCUUGCGCCAAGUUCUUUUUGCCAACCAUACAUUCCACCACAUUUCUACAAUCGUUUUCCCAACUACCGAUGCAAAUUCCGCACCUACAAAUGCCCAACAUGUUGUCAUACCAUCAGCCUACAACAUCUGUGAAAAAGAAGAAGCCAGAAAAAGAGUACACCUUCCGCAAAUGCAAUCAACCAAUAAAGGAAGGCCACGGACAAUAUAAAGGGGAACGAUACUGUUCGUAUGAACCUGAUGCACCUUCCUAUAACAUUUGGUUAGAGCAGCGGCGUAAAGCGGACACAAAAGGAACAAAAUAAGUUCAUGUAAUUUCUUAUGUAAAACGGGUAACAUAUGCCCUUACUAACACACCAUUACGCCUUUUCUUUUUCCUUUCUCUUUCCCCCUCUUUUCCCCCUUUUCUCCAGUCUUUUAUGCCCCUUCCUUCCUUACAGUUGGCCAGCGCGGUUUCAGGUGGUGAAUGCAGCAUUUUUUCGUAUCCACGACUCGCUGUGGAGUUCUACAAGAGUGUUGUGUAACGCUGUUGGUCCAUUACCCAACGUUCUUGACUUCAGCAGUGAUAUGACCUUGAAGUCACAGGCAGCACUUAAAAUCGAAUGCAAACAUGCGUCGUGACAUCCAUAGGUAUAUAUCCUACGCAGGAAAUACGACUCUGGUUUGGGUUUAAAUGCAAAUAAAAAGUUAACGGUUUGUGGAUAGUUCCAAAGCCUAACGGGAGUUGCGAGCGUUCCUGUUCCGCAGAAAAAAUGUUUGGCGACCCAAUGGAGAUCUGCAGGAGCCAUAUUUUGAUU